RNAcentral lists this non-coding RNA (772 nucleotides) under Sigara septemlineata. Lineage: Eukaryota; Metazoa; Arthropoda; Insecta; Hemiptera; Corixidae. The record is from RNAcentral.
UUAAAUAAUAAAGUUUGAUUCUUGCUUUUUAAUUAACUACAAAAUAAUAAUAAUAUGUGAGUGUUUGCGCGUUAAAAGUAUUCUAAAUGGAUUUAAUAGUUAAUUGCAAUAUUUAAUAUUAUGAUUUUAAUAUUUUUUGAUAUAGUUAUUUUUAUAGUUUUGACAAAUAUUGUGCCAGCAGUCGCGGUUAUACAAUAAAGGCUAGUUAAUUAGUUCGGUUUGUAUUAUUUAUUUUAUGUUUAAUUUAUAUAUUAAAUUAUUUAGUGAAAUAUUAAUUUAUAAUUAAGUUACGGUUUAUUAAAAUAUUCGAAAGUUUUAAUAAAAACUAGGAUUAGAUACCCUAUUAUUUUGACUGUAAAUUUUUUAACCUUAAUAUUAAUAGUUAUGAUCUUUAAAUUUAAAGAAUUUGGCGGUAAUUUAAUCUUUCUAGAGGAACCUGUCCUAUAAUUGAUAAUCCACGUUGAAUUUUACUUUUAUUAAAGCUUGUAUACCUCUGUCAUUGAAUGUUUUUUUAGAAAAAUUUUCUUUAAUCUUUAUGAGUAUAAUGUUAGGUCAAGGUGCAGCUAUAUAAAAGUAGAGAUGGGUUACAUUUAUUAUAUUAUUGAAUAUUUAUAUGUAAAUAAAAAUUGAAAUUGGAUUUAGACGUAAUUUAUAUUAUAAUAUAUUUUUGAUUUUGGCUCUAAAUUAUGUACACAUCGCCCGUCACUCUUGUUUUAAGAUAAGAUAAGUCGUAACAAAGUAGGCCUACCGGAAGGUGGGCCUAGAUUUAUUU